This 268-nucleotide ribosomal RNA is filed under the name uncultured bacterium. RNAcentral's name for it is "partial 16S ribosomal RNA". It matches the Rfam family "Bacterial small subunit ribosomal RNA", at positions 9 to 271 of the family's 1533-position model. The record is from RNAcentral.
GAGUUUGAUCAUGGCUCAGGACGAACGCUGGCGGCGUGCUUAACACAUGCAAGUCGAGCGGUAAGGCUCCUUCGGGAGUACACGAGCGGCGAACGGGUGAGUAACACGUGAGCAAUCUGGCCCUUCACAGUACGGGAUAACCUCGGGAAACCGAAGCUAAUACCCGGAUACGACCAUCGGUGGGCAUCAUCUGAUGGUGGAAAGUUCCGGGCGGUGAACGGAUGAGCUCGCGGCCUAUCAGCUUGUUGGUGGGGUAAUGGCCUACCAA